RNAcentral lists this ribosomal RNA (769 nucleotides) under uncultured bacterium. Its description in RNAcentral is "bacterial SSU rRNA". It matches the Rfam family "Bacterial small subunit ribosomal RNA", at positions 28 to 776 of the family's 1533-position model. The record is from RNAcentral.
GACGAACGCUGGCGGCGUGCCUAAUACAUGCAAGUCGAGCGAAGUUUUUCUGGUGUUUGCACUAGAAAAACUUAGCGGCGAACGGGUGAGUAACACGUAAAGAACCUGCCUCAUAGACGGGGACAACUAUUGGAAACGAUAGCUAAUACCGGAUAACAGCAUAAAUCGCAUGAUAUAUGUUUAAAAGUUGGUUUCGGCUAACACUAUGAGAUGGCUUUGCGGUGCAUUAGCUAGUUGGUGGGGUAAAGGCCUACCAAGGCGACGAUGCAUAGCCGACCUGAGAGGGUGAUCGGCCACACUGGGACUGAGACACGGCCCAGACUCCUACGGGAGGCAGCAGUAGGGAAUCUUCCGCAAUGGGCGAAAGCCUGACGGAGCAACGCCGCGUGAGUGAAGAAGGAUUUCGGUUCGUAAAGCUCUGUUGUUAGGGAAGAAUGAUUGUAUAGUAACUAUAUACAGUAGAGACGGUACCUAACCAGAAAGCCACGGCUAACUACGUGCCAGCAGCCGCGGUAAUACGUAGGUGGCAAGCGUUGUCCGGAAUUAUUGGGCGUAAAGCGCGCGCAGGUGGUUUAAUAAGUCUGAUGUGAAAGCCCACGGCUCAACCGUGGAGGGUCAUUGGAAACUGUUAAACUUGAGUGCAGGAGAGAAAAGUGGAAUUCCUAGUGUAGCGGUGAAAUGCGUAGAGAUUAGGAGGAACACCAGUGGCGAAGGCGGCUUUUUGGCCUGUAACUGACACUGAGGCGCGAAAGCGUGGGGAGCAAACAGG